Molecule: ribosomal RNA, 431 nt
Filed under: uncultured Bellilinea sp.
Lineage: Bacteria; Bacillati; Chloroflexota; Anaerolineae; Anaerolineales; Anaerolineaceae
Description: bacterial SSU rRNA
Rfam family: Bacterial small subunit ribosomal RNA
Source: RNAcentral
GAUGAACGCUGGCGGCGUGCCUAAUACAUGCAAGUCGAACGAGGCCCUUUGUAUUCGUACGAAGGUGUCCUAGUGGCGAACGGGUGAGUAACACGUAGGUGACCUGCCCCGAAGCGGGGGACAACUCCGGGAAACUGGAGCUAAUACCCCAUGUUCUCUAUGGUGUUAGAGGACCAUGGAGCAAAGGAGCAAUCCACUUUGGGAGGGGCCUGCGGCCCAUCAGCUAGUUGGUAGGGUAAUGGCCUACCAAGGCUAUGACGGGUUGGGGACCUGAGAGGGUGGUCCCCCACACUGGAACUGAAACACGGACCAGACACCUACGGGUGGCAGCAGUAGGGAAUAUUGCACAAUGGGCGAAAGCCUGAUGCAGCAACGCCGCGUGCGCGAUGAAGGCCUUCGGGUUGUAAAGCGCUUUUCUGGGGGAAGAGGAA